UACGAAGGGGGGCUAGCGUUGCUCGGAAUGACUGGGCGUAAAGGGCGCGUAGGCGGAUGGCACAGUCAGAUGUGAAAUUCCCGGGCUUAACCUGGGGGCUGCAUUUGAUACGUGUGAUCUAGAGUGAGGAAGAGGGUCGUGGAAUUCCCCAGUGUAGAGGUGAAAUUCGUAGAUAUUGGGAAGAACACCGGUGGCGAAGGCGGCGACCUGGUCCUUGACUGACGCUGAGGCGCGAAAGCGUGGGGGAGCAAAACGG
This 256-nucleotide ribosomal RNA is filed under the name uncultured bacterium. RNAcentral's name for it is "partial 16S ribosomal RNA". It matches the Rfam family "Bacterial small subunit ribosomal RNA", at positions 524 to 776 of the family's 1533-position model. The record is from RNAcentral.